GGCCGCGGGAAUUCGAUUCAGGCCUAACACAUGCAAGUCGAGCGAUGAAGCACCUUCGGGUGUGAAUUAGCGGCGAACGGGUGAGGAACACGUGAGAAAUCUGCCUUCAACUCUGGGAUAACUCCGUGAAAGCGGGGCUAAUACCGGAUAUGAAACCUUCAGGCAUGUGAGGGUUUGGAAAGUUUUUCGGUUGAAGAUGAUCUCGCGGCCUAUCAGCUUGUUGGUGAGGUAAUGGCUCACCAAGGCGACGACGGGUAGCCGGCCUGAGUGGGGGACCGGCCACACUGGGACUGAGACACGGCCCAGACUCCUACGGGAGGCAGCAGUGGGGAAUAUUGGGCUUAAGGGAAACUCUGACCCAGCGACGCCGCGUGCG
Molecule: ribosomal RNA, 376 nt
Filed under: uncultured bacterium
Lineage: Bacteria
Description: bacterial SSU rRNA
Rfam family: Bacterial small subunit ribosomal RNA
Source: RNAcentral